UGACCUCAAAUCAGGUAGGACUACCCGCUGAACUUAAGCAUAUCAAUAAGCGGAGGAAAAGAAACUAACAAGGAUUCCCCUAGUAACUGCGAGUGAAGCGGGAAAAGCUCAAAUUUAAAAUCUGGCGGUCUUUUGGCUGUCCGAGUUGUAAUCUAGAGAAGUGUUAUCCGCGCUGGACCGUGUACAAGUCUCCUGGAAUGGAGCAUCAUAGAGGGUGAGAAUCCCGUCUUUGACAUGGACUGCCAGGGCUUUGUGAUGCGCUCUCAAAGAGUCGAGUUGUUUGGGAAUGCAGCUCAAAAUGGGUGGUAAAUUCCAUCUAAAGCUAAAUAUUGGCGAGAGACCGAUAGCGAACAAGUACCGUGAGGGAAAGAUGAAAAGAACUUUGGAAAGAGAGUUAAACAGUACGUGAAAUUGCUGAAAGGGAAACGCUUGAAGUCAGUCGCGUCGUCCAGGGAUCAACCUUGCUUUUGCUUGGUGCACUUUCUGGUUCGAUGGGUCAGCAUCAAUUUUGACUGUUGGAAAAAGGUUGAGGGAAUGUGGCAUCUUUGGAUGUGUUUAUAGCCCUUGGUCACAUACAAUGGUUGGGAUUGAGGAACUCAGCACGCCGCAAGGCCGGGUUUUAAACCACGUACGUGCUUAGGAUGC
This 645-nucleotide ribosomal RNA is filed under the name Cortinarius armeniacus. RNAcentral describes it as "eukaryotic LSU rRNA". It matches the Rfam family "Eukaryotic large subunit ribosomal RNA", at positions 1 to 626 of the family's 3401-position model. The record is from RNAcentral. Lineage: Eukaryota; Fungi; Basidiomycota; Agaricomycetes; Agaricales; Cortinariaceae.